AUGAAGGACGGUACCGACCUAAGUUUCGACGCGGAGACGGUUGCGGGUGGCGGAGGGUUGUCCGGUGCAGAUCUAUUUGCGGCGGGAGUUGGAGGAGUCGGUCGAAGGUGGCGGCGCGGAUGGGUAAGGACUGAGGUGAUGAAGGUGUUGCUGACUGCAGUUGAAGGGAUCGGUCGGCGUGGGUUGCAUGGAGGUUGCCCGGAGAGUAGCGGCAAGUUGCGAUUGAUGUGUUGCUGCGUGCGGAGAAGUUGUGUCAUUGAUUAG
Molecule: long non-coding RNA, 264 nt
Filed under: Vicia faba (fava bean)
Lineage: Eukaryota; Viridiplantae; Streptophyta; Magnoliopsida; Fabales; Fabaceae
Source: RNAcentral